UACAGAGGUCCCGAGCGUUGUUCGGAAUCACUGGGCGUAAAGCGCAUGUAGGCGGGUCUUUAAGUCAGGGGUGAAAUGCCAAGGCUCAACCUUGGAACUGCCUUUGAUACUGGAGACCUUGAGUCCGGGAGAGGUGAGUGGAACUGCGAGUGUAGAGGUGAAAUUCGUAGAUAUUCGCAAGAACACCAGUGGCGAAGGCGGCUCACUGGCCCGGUACUGACGCUGAGAUGCGAAAGCGUGGGGAGCAAACAGG
This 253-nucleotide ribosomal RNA is filed under the name uncultured bacterium. Its description in RNAcentral is "partial 16S ribosomal RNA". It matches the Rfam family "Bacterial small subunit ribosomal RNA", at positions 524 to 776 of the family's 1533-position model. The record is from RNAcentral.